AUGGCUAGUUAUUUACCUUCUACCUCUAUGUCUGAAAUUGGGGAUACCAUUGUCGAUAAUAAUUUUGAUGCUCCUACUAAAGAACCCACUAUCUCACAUAUAAAAAGAUUUCGUGUUGGUAGCACUAAUAUUAUUGGAAAAGGAGUUAUUCAAGAUUUCUUUAUUUGUGCCGGUGCUUUACCUUCUAUGGGUAGUUCUAUUUGUCAUAGAACUAGUAGUCUUGCGGACACUAUUGCCAUGCUUGUAGUUGAACUUGAGAGGCAAUUCAUGCACUUGCAUCCUUCUAUACAAAGGAUUUUCCUAGAAUUUUCUAAUAUUGAGCAUUCUUCUGUUAAGCGUGCCGUUACUAUCUUUUUGGCUCAUGAUUUUUGA
RNAcentral lists this ribosomal RNA (372 nucleotides) under Triticum aestivum (bread wheat). RNAcentral describes it as "partial small subunit ribosomal RNA". Lineage: Eukaryota; Viridiplantae; Streptophyta; Magnoliopsida; Poales; Poaceae. The record is from RNAcentral.